This 75-nucleotide transfer RNA is filed under the name Sporomusaceae bacterium. RNAcentral describes it as "tRNA-Ile". It matches the Rfam family "tRNA". Rfam says of the family: Transfer RNA (tRNA) molecules are approximately 80 nucleotides in length. Their secondary structure includes four short double-helical elements and three loops (D, anti-codon, and T loops). Further hydrogen bonds mediate the characteristic L-shaped molecular structure. tRNAs have two regions of fundamental functional importance: the anti-codon, which is responsible for specific mRNA codon recognition, and the 3' end, to which the tRNAs corresponding amino acid is attached (by aminoacyl-tRNA synthetases). tRNAs cope with the degeneracy of the genetic code in two manners: having more than one tRNA (with a specific anti-codon) for a particular amino acid; and 'wobble' base-pairing, i.e. permitting non-standard base-pairing at the 3rd anti-codon position. Lineage: Bacteria; Bacillati; Bacillota; Negativicutes; Selenomonadales; Sporomusaceae. The record is from RNAcentral.
GGGCCUAUAGCUCAGCGGUAGAGCAGCCGGCUCAUAACCGGCUGGUCCCUGGUUCAAUCCCAGGUGGGCCCACCA